Non-coding RNA from Hymenopellis radicata, 95 nucleotides. NCBI's taxonomy places the organism in Eukaryota, Fungi, Basidiomycota, Agaricomycetes, Agaricales, Physalacriaceae. The record is from the annotation of a GenBank genome assembly.
ACACCGAUGGUGAACUGGCUAUCAUGCUUGCCUUCCAUGGCUGCUGGGCAUCAUCGUUCGAGCAAGCGGCAGAGGUUCGAUUCCUCUUCAGUGUG